UCCCUCCAAUUGUUCUUCCUUUUUUUUUUUUUUAUAAAUAUUCCGAUAAAGCUCCAUUGUUUCCGAUGAAAAUAAUAUUCCAGCAAAGUUAUUAAUUAUUUUUUCCCGACAAAAGUUCAUUUUUUUUUAUGUAAUUGUGAUAAUGAUGACUAGUGAAAGAAGAUGAAGACCAUGAAUGAAAGGUUUAAUUCCAUUAGAAUGAAC
This 204-nucleotide long non-coding RNA is filed under the name Solanum tuberosum (potato). RNAcentral describes it as "long non-coding RNA (STUB_LNC010483)". Lineage: Eukaryota; Viridiplantae; Streptophyta; Magnoliopsida; Solanales; Solanaceae. The record is from RNAcentral.